Molecule: long non-coding RNA, 1575 nt
Organism: Chiroxiphia lanceolata (lance-tailed manakin)
Lineage: Eukaryota; Metazoa; Chordata; Aves; Passeriformes; Pipridae
Exons: 4
Source: RefSeq, a predicted model, not a curated record
CACACACGGAUACCCGCGGACACACCCCCGCGGGGAGGAGAGCGGGGAGGGCGGUCACCAAUACACACAGCACGGGGGGCAACCACGAUCAGAAGUGAUAUGUCAGAGACUCUGGACGAGACCAUUCCACUCAUUAAAGUCAAGGUGCUGGAGAGGAACCACAUCUGUGCCAAAGUUGAUAAACUGGAGACAUCCUCUGCCAGCAGCCUGCCCCUGUGACCUGCCAGAACUCCACUGAACUGAAGACUUUUUUCCUGUGGACUAUCCAGCAGCUGCCUGCAACACAGUGGGAGGAAGGAACACAACCAAGUUUUCUUAGAAAGGACUCAGCUUUUCCAAGACUCCCUGCCUGGAGCUACUGGGAUACAGAUCAAGCCACUGACAGCUCUAAGUGGUCGUUAACAAACUCUCACCUGAUUUACUGAAGUCAUUCUCCAUGAAAUAGUUUGGAAAACCUGCUCACAAAACAAGUUGAGGUUCAAGUUUUCUUUUAAAGCAGAGAAACACAAGGAGCUCUUUUGCUGAUGUAAAUGCCAAAGUGUUUUUCCUGUAUUGUUCUUGAAACAUCUUCUACCCCUGGAGUUCAGAACUGGGAGCCGGCCAGUCCAACUUCCACUCCUCUGAGGUAAAAAAGCACAACAAGAGUUGUGUCCCUUCUGUGAGGGGGGAAAGAACAGGACACAUCUAAAUCAUUUCCACUCCCAGGUACCUGUUUUCAGUCAUCACACACAGAGUUAGUCCAACAAAUCCCAGAAAUGCUCAUUGUAGUGUCAGCAGCACAUGGAGCAGAGUCUCAGCUUUGGCUCCCAGGGCCAAGUACAGUUAAACCCACCUGACUGCUCCAGAUCUCUGGGAAAUGGUUUUGCUGCUUAAAGUGUUGGAAAACACAGAAUUAUUCCCUCCUUUACAACACCAGUGAGAACUGCACAGGUCAGUUUAGUUCUUGUAAAGUAUCCAACAGUAGGAACUGGGAUUUAUGAGUCCCACUCAUUGCUCUGAUGAAGAACAGUUUUGUUGUCAUCACAAUUAGACUGCCCUCAGUAAACCCUCAGCUUGCCUUGCUCAGCUGUCUGUUCCCUGCACAUGCCCACAGUGCAGGACUGGCUUGGCCAAACCAAUCCCAACUUUGAAUAACCUGAUUUUUAGUUUUCCUGCUAUCCAAAUUACUUUUCCUUCCAAGCCAAGCCCAGCCUGUGCUCCUCCCUGUGGGAGUGGUCAGUCUUCCAGCAGCACUGCUCUGCUGUCCCUCAGGCCACAGUGCUCCAGACACAGCUCUGGGGAGGGUUUUUAGAGGUGAAAGCAAUUUCCAUUCACUGAGUACAAAGGGAUGGAAAAGGCAAGGAAUUCACAAUUUCCCUAGGAUGGAGAACAAGCAAACCACUACAGUUCUAUUUAUAACUCUGUGUUCUACAACACUGAACAGGAACAACAAAUUUCAGCCCAAGUUGGCUGUGCAGAUUUUCAAUAUCCUUGAAGGACAUCACUCUAUUCAGUAAGUACUAAACAGGCCCCAGCAGGGCUGUGGAGCACUUGGAAAAACAAAAGAGAAAAAAAAAAGGAAUGAACACAGCAAGG